CAGCCGCCGCGGUAAUACGUAGGGUGCAAGCGUUAAUCGGAAUUACUGGGCGUAAAGCGUGCGCAGGCGGUGUUGUAAGACUGAUGUGAAAUCCCCAGGCUCAACCUGGGAACUGCAUUGGUGACUGCAACGCUGGAGUGCGGCAGAGGGGGAUGGAAUUCCGCGUGUAGCAGUGAAAUGCGUAGAUAUGCGGAGGAACACCGAUGGCGAAGGCAAUCCCCUGGGCCUGCACUGACGCUCAUGCACGAAAGCGUGGGGAGCAAACAGGAUUAGAUACCCCCGUAGUCCCUGUCUCUUAUAC
Molecule: ribosomal RNA, 301 nt
Filed under: uncultured bacterium
Lineage: Bacteria
Description: partial 16S ribosomal RNA
Rfam family: Bacterial small subunit ribosomal RNA
Source: RNAcentral